Molecule: ribosomal RNA, 1347 nt
Filed under: uncultured bacterium
Lineage: Bacteria
Description: bacterial SSU rRNA
Rfam family: Bacterial small subunit ribosomal RNA
Source: RNAcentral
GACGAACGCUGGCGGCGUGCUUAACACAUGCAAGUCGAACGAUGAAGCCUAGCUUGCUAGGUGGAUUAGUGGCGAACGGGUGAGUAAUACGUGAGUAACCUACCUUUAACUCUGGGAUAAGCCUGGGAAACUGGGUCUAAUACCGGAUACGACCAAUCUCCGCAUGGGGUGUUGGUGGAAAGCGUUAUGUAGUGGUUAUAGAUGGGCUCACGGCCUAUCAGCUUGUUGGUGAGGUAACGGCUCACCAAGGCGACGACGGGUAGCCGGCCUGAGAGGGUGACCGGCCACACUGGGACUGAGACACGGCCCAGACUCCUACGGGAGGCAGCAGUGGGGAAUAUUGCACAAUGGGCGCAAGCCUGAUGCAGCGACGCCGCGUGAGGGAUGACGGCCUUCGGGUUGUAAACCUCUGUUAGCAGGGAAGAAGAGAGAUUGACGGUACCUGCAGAGAAAGCGCCGGCUAACUACGUGCCAGCAGCCGCGGUAAUACGUAGGGCGCGAGCGUUGUCCGGAAUUAUUGGGCGUAAAGAGCUUGUAGGCGGUUUGUCGCGUCUGCUGUGAAAGGCCGGGGCUUAACUCCGUGUAUUGCAGUGGGUACGGGCAGACUAGAGUGCAGUAGGGACACUGGAAUUCCUGGUGUAGCGGUGGAAUGCGCAGAUAUCAGGAGGAACACCGAUGGCGAAGGCAGGUCUCUGGGCUGUAACUGACGCUGAGAAGCGAAAGCAUGGGGAGCGAACAGGAUUAGAUACCCUGGUAGUCCAUGCCGUAAACGUUGGGCACUAGGUGUGGGGGACAUUCCACGUUUUCCGCGCCGUAGCUAACGCAUUAAGUGCCCCGCCUGGGGAGUACGGCCGCAAGGCUAAAACUCAAAGAAAUUGACGGGGGCCCGCACAAGCGGCGGAGCAUGCGGAUUAAUUCGAUGCAACGCGAAGAACCUUACCAAGGCUUGACAUAUAUUGGACCGCAUCAGAGAUGGUGUUUCCCUUCGGGGCUGGUAUACAGGUGGUGCAUGGUUGUCGUCAGCUCGUGUCGUGAGAUGUUGGGUUAAGUCCCGCAACGAGCGCAACCCUCGUUCUAUGUUGCCAGCACGUUAUGGUGGGGACUCAUAGGAGACUGCCGGGGUCAACUCGGAGGAAGGUGGGGAUGACGUCAAAUCAUCAUGCCCCUUAUGUCUUGGGCUUCACGCAUGCUACAAUGGCCGGUACAGAGGGUUGCGAUACUGUGAGGUGGAGCUAAUCCCUAAAAGCCGGUCUCAGUUCGGAUUGGGGUCUGCAACUCGACCCCAUGAAGUCGGAGUCGCUAGUAAUCGCAGAUCAGCAACGCUGCGGUGAAUACGUUCCCGGGCCU